UGGGGAAUAUUGGACAAUGGGCGAAAGCCUAAUCCAGCCAUGCCGCGUGUGUGAAGAAGGUCUUCGGAUUGUAAAGCACUUUAAGUUGGGAGGAAGGGCAUUAACCUAAUACGUUAGUGUUUUGACGUUACCGACAGAAUAAGCACCGGCUAACUCUGUGCCAGCAGCCGCGGUAAUACAGAGGGUGCAAGCGUUAAUCGGAAUUACUGGGCGUAAAGCGCGCGUAGGUGGUUUGUUAAGUUGGAUGUGAAAGCCCCGGGCUCAACCUGGGAACUGCAUCCAAAACUGGCAAGCUAGAGUACGGUAGAGGGUGGUGGAAUUUCCUGUGUAGCGGUGAAAUGCGUAGAUAUAGGAAGGAACACCAGUGGCGAAGGCGACCACCUGGACUGAUACUGACACUGAGGUGCGAAAGCGUGGGGAGCAAACA
RNAcentral lists this ribosomal RNA (427 nucleotides) under uncultured bacterium. RNAcentral's name for it is "partial 16S ribosomal RNA". It matches the Rfam family "Bacterial small subunit ribosomal RNA", at positions 355 to 774 of the family's 1533-position model. The record is from RNAcentral.